This 248-nucleotide ribosomal RNA is filed under the name uncultured bacterium. Its description in RNAcentral is "partial 16S ribosomal RNA". It matches the Rfam family "Bacterial small subunit ribosomal RNA", at positions 15 to 252 of the family's 1533-position model. The record is from RNAcentral.
GAUCAUGGCUCAGGAUGAACGCUAGCUACAGGCUUAACACAUGCAAGUCGAGGGGCAGCAUUUCAGUUUGCUUGCAAACUGGAGAUGGCGACCGGCGCACGGGUUAGUAACACGUAUCCAACCUGCCGAUAACUCGGGGAUAGCCUUUCGAAAGAAAGAUUAAUACCCGAUGGUAUAAUUAGACCGCAUGGUCUUAUUAUUAAAGAAUUUUCGGUUAUCGAUGGGGAUGCGUUCCAUUAGGCAGUUGG